ACCUUAACAGAAAUACUGGAGAGUGCAGCAGUGAUUUCUGACUGACAGUUGCAGAACUUCUUCGCGAUGGAUCUGUUAUGGUCAAGGCAGGACUUUCCAAUCACACUUAUAUACAUUGUGGAUAACCUUAACACCAAAAAUAAACAGGAUGACAUGGUUAUAAGGUUACAAUAUACUAAAAUAUUUUGGAGUGCAAUGCUAUACUCUCUAAAAACAUGAACAUCAUUUAUAAGAAGACACAAUUCUCUGUAGGGGCACUUGCCAUGGCUUUAUUUUAGAAUGAUUCUUUGUGCAUGUGGUAGGGAAAACAUUGAUGUUUAACAGAAAUUCACUCUUUUGCUUGAAGGUAACUGGAGACUACAUGAGACUUUGACAGAUGGCGGGAAACCCUUCUCAACUGGUACGAAGCCGGUAAAUAGAUGGCCAUAAAACAGUGACCGCUGAUUCGCGUCGAGUUCUUUCUUGCAUAACGUAGAGAAAUGUCUGGGACUUAGCCGAGGGCAACUGGAGAAGGGUUGUUGAUGGCAAAACAGGUUGGAGACUACAUGAGACUUUGACAGAUGGCGGGAAACCCUUCUCAACUGGUACGAAGCCGGUAAAUAGAUGGCCAUAAAACAGUGACCGCUGAUUCGCGUCGAGUUCUUUCUUGCAUAACGUAUGACCCCCCUUUUUUAUUGUUUAAAUCAUUGCGGCUUGGAAUGCUCUUUAAGAAAAGGUAUGGUUAUGGGGAUGUCUAUGCGCAAAAGUUUGACUUUAUUUUUAGUUAAAAGUUAUUGCUUUCACAUUGAAUUUGUGUAGGAAAUCUUUUAGUAUAUUGUCACCAUAAUCAGACACUGGGCUGGUACCAAUUUUUAGUACAAUUGCAGCAGUACAUGAGGUUUCAGGACAAUGCAUAAAGGGGAAUGCAGGAUAUGCUGGAAAAGAUUGCUAUUCCUAAUUUUCAAUGGCCAGCAGAAUGUCUAGAUGUUAAUCAGAAACAUUUGGUAGGAAUCAGUAAAGCUUCAACUGCAGGCUCACAUGGAAACAUAAAUGUUGACAAGUCCACUUAUUAAAGGGGCCUUUUCACAGAUUUUGGCAUUUUUUAACUUAUUCAUUAAAUGCUUUAUAUUGAUAAAUGUAAACAUUGGAUCGUAAAAGCUCCAGUAAAAAAUCAAGAAUAAAAUUAAAAAAAGGAAAAGAACAUUGCCCAGAGCAGGUUUCGAACCAGUGACCCCUAGAGUCCUGCCAGAGUCCUGAAGUAAAAACGCUUUAGCCUACUGAGCUAUUCCGCCGAGUACACAUACUUGGUGUAUUUUAUACCUUAUAUAAGCAAUCUUCGUAGUUUCACAAAAUUUAACGACAAAAACAGAACUCUCCAAAUUAUUCAAUCGUUUCGCGUUGCAACGCUUUAUAAUUUUUAGGUUUUAAAAUCGUCAAAAGAUGCAUAUAAUGGCUAUAUUAGACCAUGGUAAAUGUUCAGUAUUACUGUUUCCUCACAAAUAUCAUAACUAAAACGAAAAUUUACGAAUCU
This is a long non-coding RNA of Dreissena polymorpha, 1510 nucleotides long. RefSeq lists it as uncharacterized. The transcript is spliced from 3 exons. The record is from RefSeq and is a predicted model, not a curated record. NCBI's taxonomy places the organism in Eukaryota, Metazoa, Mollusca, Bivalvia, Myida, Dreissenidae.